UCAUGACCUGAGCUGAAGGGAGCGGCUUAACCCACUGAGCCACCCAGGCGCCCCUGUUUCUUCACUUUUUGAUACUAACUAUCCUUGGUUUUGAUUUGCAUUUCCCUGAUACUUAGUGAUGUUGAACAUCUCUUCAUGUGUCUGUUGGCCAUCUGUAAGUCUGCUUUGGAAAAUAACUGUUCAUGUCUCCUGCC
Molecule: long non-coding RNA, 194 nt
Organism: Mustela erminea (ermine)
Lineage: Eukaryota; Metazoa; Chordata; Mammalia; Carnivora; Mustelidae
Exons: 3
Source: RefSeq, a predicted model, not a curated record